UACGUAGGGGGCUAGCGUUGUCCGGAUUUAUUGGGCGUAAAGCGCGUGUAGGCGGCCAGACAGGUCCGACGUGAAAUCUCGAGGCUCAACCUCGAGCGGUCGUUGGAAACUAUCCGGCUAGAGUCCGGAAGAGGAGAGUGGAAUUCCCGGUGUAGCGGUGAAAUGCGCAGAUAUCGGGAAGAACACCCAUGGCGAAGGCAGCUCUCUGGGACGGUACUGACGCUGAGACGCGAAAGCGUGGGGAGCGAACAGGAUUAGAAACCCGAGUAGU
RNAcentral lists this ribosomal RNA (271 nucleotides) under uncultured bacterium. RNAcentral's name for it is "partial 16S ribosomal RNA". It matches the Rfam family "Bacterial small subunit ribosomal RNA", at positions 524 to 794 of the family's 1533-position model. The record is from RNAcentral.